UACGUAGGCCGCAAGCGUUGUUCGGAAUUACUGGGCGUAAAGAGUGCGUAGGCGGUUGGGUAAGUUUGGUGUGAAAUCUCCCGGCUUAACUGGGAGGGUGCGCCGAAAACUGCCCGGCUUGAGUGUGGGAGAGGGAAGUGGAAUGCCUGGUGUAGCGGUGAAAUGCGUAGAUAUCAGGCGGAACACCGGUGGUGUAGACGGCUUCCUGGACCAUUACUGACGCUGAGGCACGAAAGCGUGGGGAGCAAACAGG
RNAcentral lists this ribosomal RNA (253 nucleotides) under uncultured bacterium. RNAcentral's name for it is "partial 16S ribosomal RNA". It matches the Rfam family "Bacterial small subunit ribosomal RNA", at positions 524 to 776 of the family's 1533-position model. The record is from RNAcentral.